Molecule: non-coding RNA, 1021 nt
Organism: Arachis ipaensis
Lineage: Eukaryota; Viridiplantae; Streptophyta; Magnoliopsida; Fabales; Fabaceae
Source: RefSeq, a predicted model, not a curated record
UUAGAUAGAAAUUGCUUAAUUCUUGCCUUUCUCACCUUUACUGUAUGCUGUGCUGGUUGCUUUGAAGGUACCUCUUAACACCCUUAAAAAGUUGCCAAGAAUUGGGAGACAGCAGAUACUCUUUUGGGCAUGCACCAAAUAGGUUAUUCAUACCUUUCGUAUGUUGAAUAUAUAUAUAUAUAUAUAGAGAGAGAGAGAGAGUUUGUUUUCGUUGUAUAUAUAUAUAUAUAGAGAGAGAGAGAGAGUUUGUUUUCGUUGUAGCAUGUUGCAUUCUUACUCUAUAUACAAAGUAGCUAUUGAUUACAAUAAUUUACCAGCCAUGUUUUGACAAGGAUCCUCAGUUUUUUGGUACAAGAUGGACACUGCUCUCUCUCAUCAGCAGAAUGGAAAAUCUUCAUAAAGUUGUGGAAGGGUGAUUGUAGAACAUUGCAAUAUCAUUGGAUUAGGAUUUUGGUUGGAACACCCAAGCAAACUUGAAGAGAAGCAAUAGUUUCCUAGAAAAUCAUGAAGAUGCAAAGGGACAAGGACAGCGGUAGAUCGAAUAAGAGGCUAGCACAUGCAAAAACCAUGGAGGGAAUUUUGGGCAGUGGACCAAAGUUUUGAUGGUGAGGGGAAGAUAUUGGUGUAAAGAAUGCUCACUUUGAAAACGAGGAUUUGAAUAUUUGUCUUUUGAAGUGGUAGAAUGGAAAUGACAUACCAAAUUCAACCACUAAAUACAAAAAGGUAAGGGUUGUUAUGCUUUGGCAAAUUUACCAAGGAUUGAAAACUGUGCUACUUUUUAUUAGGUCUUGGGUGAAUGGAAUGAUUGGAAAGGUUAUUGGUAUAAAUACAAAUAUUUAUUGUCUUGGAUUUUGCAAAACUGUGUGCUAGACUCAAAACUACUCAUUAGGAUGAUUUUUAUCUCUGACACUAUGAUGAGUGCUCUCCACAUUAAUCGAAAAACGAUGCAUUUUAGCUUUAUCUUUUUUUUUUAUAUGACCUUUGAUGUAUGUAAUUUGGGAGAAAAAAAUCCAACCUUAAU